This 280-nucleotide long non-coding RNA is filed under the name Physcomitrium patens. RNAcentral's name for it is "long non-coding RNA (PPAT_LNC001277)". The record is from RNAcentral. Lineage: Eukaryota; Viridiplantae; Streptophyta; Bryopsida; Funariales; Funariaceae.
UUAGCUCCCUACAUCUCCCUUCUCACACCUCCAUUCACACAUUCACACUCACACAUCUUCAUUGCAUUAAUGUAAUAAGUUUGUUAUGGCCUGUGUGGAUUCCUACACAAAUCAUACACUAGCUUCAACUCACAAUAGUUGUAGUAGAUCCACAUACACCAAUGCCACUACAAGUUGAACUAAUGAUUCACAGAGCCUACGAUUAUGAAGGUUUAGAUUCUACCUACACAUCUUGUGCUCUAGUAGGAACUAUUUAGCAAAAAAUGAGUUAUAGGAUUGA